RNAcentral lists this ribosomal RNA (383 nucleotides) under Neoscrobiger patricius. RNAcentral's name for it is "partial 12S ribosomal RNA". Lineage: Eukaryota; Metazoa; Arthropoda; Insecta; Coleoptera; Cleridae. The record is from RNAcentral.
UAAAAUUAAAAAAUUUGGCGGUAUUUUAGUCUUUUCAGAGGAACCUGUUCUAUAAUUGAUAGUCCACGAUUAAUUGUACUUAUUUUAUAAAUUUAUAUAUCGUCGUAGUUUGAAUGUUUUUAAAGAAUAUUUAAUGUUCAAGAUUUAAUAUAAUAAAUUAAAUCAGAUCAAGGUGUAGUUUAUAAAUAAGAAGAAAUGGGUUACAUUUAAUUUAUUAAUAGAUAAAUUUAUGCGAUUAAAUUUUGAAAUUGGAUUUGAAAGUAAUUUAAUAUAUAUUUAUUUUAUGAUUUAAGCUCUAAAAUAUGUACAUAUUGCCCGUCGCUUUCGUUUUAAGAUGAGAUAAGUCGUAACAAAGUAGAUUUACUGGAAAGUGAAUCUAGAAG